RNAcentral lists this ribosomal RNA (496 nucleotides) under uncultured bacterium. RNAcentral's name for it is "partial 16S ribosomal RNA". It matches the Rfam family "Bacterial small subunit ribosomal RNA", at positions 28 to 507 of the family's 1533-position model. The record is from RNAcentral.
GAUGAACGCUGGCGGCGUGCCUAAUACAUGCAAGUCGAGCGAACAGACGAGGAGCUUGCUCCUCUGACGUUAGCGGCGGACGGGUGAGUAACACGUGGAUAACCUACCUAUAAGACUGGGAUAACUUCGGGGAACCGGAGCUAAUACCGGAUAAUAUAUUGAACCGCAUGGUUCAAUAGUGAAAGACGGUUUUGCUGUCACUUAUAGAUGGAUCCGCGCCGCAUUAGCUAGUUGCAAGGUAACGGCUUACCAAGGCAACGAUGCGUAGCCGACCUGAGAGGGUGAUCGGCCACACUGGAACUGAGACACGGUCCAGACUCCUACGGGAGGCAGCAGUAGGGAAUCUUCCGCAAUGGGCGAAAGCCUGACGGAGCAACGCCGCGUGAGUGAUGAAGGUCUUCGGAUCGUAAAACUCUGUUAUUAGGGAAGAACAAAUGUGUAAGUAACUAUGCACGUCUUGACGGUACCUAAUCAGAAAGCCACGGCUAACUACGUG